CCCCUGCUAGAACCUCCAAACAAGCUCAAGGUCCAUUUGUAGGAGAACGUAGGGUAGUCAAGCUUCCAAGACUGCAGACACAUCCAAGUGAGGCGCUGCGCGUGGCAGUUUGCCAUUGUUU
Molecule: small nuclear RNA, 121 nt
Filed under: Acanthisitta chloris (rifleman)
Lineage: Eukaryota; Metazoa; Chordata; Aves; Passeriformes; Acanthisittidae
Description: 7SK RNA
Rfam family: 7SK RNA
About the family: 7SK was discovered as an abundant small nuclear RNA in the mid-70s but a possible function has only recently been suggested. Two independent studies have found that 7SK RNA binds the CDK9/cyclin T complex (known as elongation factor P-TEFb).
Source: Rfam by way of RNAcentral